RNAcentral lists this ribosomal RNA (381 nucleotides) under uncultured eukaryote. RNAcentral's name for it is "partial 18S ribosomal RNA". It matches the Rfam family "Eukaryotic small subunit ribosomal RNA", at positions 592 to 976 of the family's 1831-position model. The record is from RNAcentral.
CGAUAGCGUAUAUUAAAGUUGUUGCGGUAAAAAAGCUCGUAGUUGGAUUUCUACCGAAGAUAGCCGGUCGGGUCUUCGACCUUGUAUCUGGUUUUGUCUUUGGUAUCCUCAUAGGGAACGUUUCUGCGCUUUAUUGCGUGGUGCGGUAUCUAUGACUUUUACUUUGAGGAAAUUAGAGUGUUCACGGCAGGCAAACGCCUUGAAUAUAUUAGCAUGGAAUAAUAACAUAGGAUCUUCGUCCUAUUUUGUUGGUUUCUAGGGCUAAGAUAAUGAUUAAUAGGGAUAAUUGGGGGCAUCUGUAUCAACGCGUCAGAGGUGGAAUUCUUGGAUUGCGUUGCGACAAACUACUGCGAAAGCACUUGCCAAGGAUGUUUUCAUUGA